RNAcentral lists this ribosomal RNA (253 nucleotides) under uncultured bacterium. Its description in RNAcentral is "partial 16S ribosomal RNA". It matches the Rfam family "Bacterial small subunit ribosomal RNA", at positions 524 to 776 of the family's 1533-position model. The record is from RNAcentral.
UACGAAGGGGGCUAGCGUUGCUCGGAAUGACUGGGCGUAAAGUGUGCGCAGGCGGCAGAGCAAGUCGAGUGUGAAAGCCCCGGGCUUAACUUGGGAAUUGCGCUCGAAACUACUUUGCUGGAGUGUGGCAGAGGAAGGUGGAAUUCCACGUGUAGCGGUGAAAUGCGUAGAGAUGUGGAGGAACACCAAUGGCGAAGGCAGCCUUCUGGGCCAACACUGACGCUCAUGCACGAAAGCGUGGGGAGCAAACAGG